Molecule: ribosomal RNA, 440 nt
Filed under: uncultured bacterium
Lineage: Bacteria
Description: partial 16S ribosomal RNA
Rfam family: Bacterial small subunit ribosomal RNA
Source: RNAcentral
CCUACGGGAGGCAGCAGUGGGGAAUAUUGCACAAUGGGGGAAACCCUGAUGCAGCGACGCCGCGUGAGUGAAGAAGUAUUUCGGUAUGUAAAGCUCUAUCAGCAGGGGAGAAAAUUACGGUACCUGACUAAGACGCCCCGGCUAACUACGUGCCAGCCGCCGCGGUUAUACGUAGGGGGCAAGCGUUAUCCGGAUUUACUGGGUGUAAAGGGGGCGUAGACGGCGGAACAAGUCAGAAGUGAAAACCCGGGGAUCAACCCUGGGAGUGCUUUUGAAACUGUUUGGCUGGAGUGCAGGAGAGGUAAGCGGAAUGCGUAGUGUAGCGGUGAAAUGCGUAGAUAUUAGGAGGAACACCAGUGGCGAAGGCGGCUUACUGGACUGUAACUGACGUUGAGGCUCGAAAGCGUGGGGAGCAAACAGGAUUAGAUACCCUUGUAGUC